Molecule: long non-coding RNA, 8326 nt
Filed under: Medicago truncatula (barrel medic)
Lineage: Eukaryota; Viridiplantae; Streptophyta; Magnoliopsida; Fabales; Fabaceae
Description: long non-coding RNA (MTRU_LNC003540)
Source: RNAcentral
GAUCAAUAUGACAUUGGUAAAAAUUCCAAUAAACUUUGUAAGUAUUGAUUUCUCAAGAAACAAGUUUAAUGGAGGAAUUCCAAAUGAUAUAGGAGAACUUCACGCACUCAAAGGGCUUAACCUUUCACAUAACAGACUCACUGGUCCUAUUCCUCAAUCCAUACAAAACUUGACAAACUUGGAAUCGUUGGAUCUCUCGUCAAAUAUGCUCACUGGUAUGAUUCCUGCAGAAUUAACCAAUUUGAACAGUCUUGAAGUCUUGGAUCUUUCCAAUAACCAUCUUGUGGGAGAAAUACCUCAAGGAAAGCAAUUCAAUACAUUUACAAAUGAUUCUUAUAAAGGGAACUUGGGGUUAUGUGGAUUACCCUUGUCAAAGAAAUGUGGACCGGAACAACAUUCUCCACCUUCAGCCAACAACUUUUGGAGUGAAGAGAAAUUUGGCUUUGGAUGGAAACCAGUGGCAAUUGGUUAUGGAUGUGGAUUUGUGUUUGGAAUAGGCCUUGGAUAUUAUAUGUUUUUAAUUGGAAAGCCUAGAUGGUUUGUGAUGAUAUUUGGUGGUCAUCCUAAGAGAAGAGUGAAUAGGAGAACAUAAGUGAGGAGAAACAAUGGUCCAACCAUGAAUCAGAUGGUGCAAAUGUCAUAGUUUUAUUAUUCUGGUUAUUUUCUCUAUUGUGUGUGUUAGUUUUUACUCUGUUUAAAAUAAGUUUUGGUGUGAGUGUAACAAUCUAGUCUUUUUUAUUUGAUCUAGCUAGUUUGAUUUUUACUUAACUUAUAUGUGUAUGCAUCAACAUGUGUUAUAUAAUAAAAUUCCAAGUUUAUUUUUAUGUUUGCAUCUAGCUACUGUCUGAAUGUCUGUGAGCCUAUUGUUCUUUUGGUGGAUGCUCACCAGAUACAAACACGCGCACGCGCGCACAUUACUACACUACAUAACAUUGUUUAUAACUCAGAUUUGAAGAAGUUUUUGAGCCAGAAAGUGUGGUAAGAACUCCUGGAUUACCCGCAGUCACCUCAGAGUCGUAAAAUGCAAUGUUGGAUCACUGAAACUGGUUUCCUAUUUUGCCAUGCAUUUUUGUUUCCUGGCUAAUCCGUAGCAGUAAUAAGAUGAUAUUUUGACACUGUUGUGCUCUUUAUCAAUAAUUAAUUAUAUAUUUGAUGUCAAGAAUUCUAACAUAAUUUUUGAGUAAUAUGUAUGUGGUUCAGAAUGGCAAUGUAUUUUGUUUACCCGACACCACAAGAUUGGUUGAUUGUAUUCUAAGCAUCAUGGUCGAUUAAUUCAUAUUUUUAUAACCUUUUUUUCUUUGCCUUUUUAUUUUGCUUCUUUUCAUCUAAUCUUAUUAGUACAAAAUUGAGUUUUGCAAGUACACAAACAGAAAGACUUUGUUAAUUAAUCUUCUCUUCUUUUGGUGGUUUAAAUCUAAAUUUGUUGUCUUUAGUAUCCGUUGCGAAGAAGAUUUCUUUCUUAGACUUGGCUGAGUUUUGAUGAUAACAAACUCACAUCACAAAAGAAGAAAACUAUGGAGGCACAAGAUGAAGAUUAAGAAUGAAGAUUAGUGCAUAAACUUCUGGGUUAUACUCUUUGUAAGUAUGGCACUUUAUCUUUUGAUUUAUCAUUCUUAACUUAUGGAAUAAUUUAGAAUGCUCAGAAAAUAAUUACAAACAUUUUUUCUAAGUCCGCAUAUGAAGCAAUGCCUAAUAUCUCUUGAAAAUAAAUCACACACUUACAAUGGUAUUUAUUUAAAAGUGAUUUUGCAUGAAAAGCCAUUAUUAACAAUGAAAACUGCAUAACUGUUUUCUACAUUCAAAAAUAUAUUUUUCAUGUUAUCAUACUCAAUUAUGAUUUGUAAAUGUGUGCACAUCAUGGGGCAACACAAUUUUCUUUCUCAAGUACAAAUCAAUUUUAACAUAGUAAAUUUGAUUUCAAUGUGCUAAUUGCAUCAAGUGUCAAAACGGCUAUUUUUUUUUCCAUUGAAGGAUUAACGGCUAAUUUUCUUUUAAAGCACGUCAUUGCCAUAUUUGUUUAAAUACAUAUGAUACUCAUUUUUAAGAAUAGGUUUCUUUUCAAAUAUGUUUCUAUUCAUUUGGUAAUUCUUUUUUGAAACUUUUUAGCCUACACUUUAACUUUUAUUAAAAAGUUUUCUGAGCACUAAGUCCAUUUGUUAGAGUGAUACUGAUAAAGAUAUACACCCAUAUAUUUGCUAUUCUUCAACUACUUUGUUAUAAAGUUUCUUGCCAUUGUUGGUGAGAAUUAUUGUUUAAGAUAGUGGGGGUGUUGUCUUGUGAUUAUUGUAAAAGGUUCUUUGAUUCGGGAAAAUUCAAAGUCCACCAAACAUGUUUGGUGUUUGUGUUGUAAUCAAGAGAGAGGGUUUUUUUCUUGUGUUUAUGUUAGAAAGAUUGUUAGGGGGGUCUUGAGGUGAGAUUGCUUGCAACAAAGAUUCUAACAUAGUGAAUUUCUUCGCGGGGUGUGAAAGGAGUGGACUGACCCUUAGGUUUAGAGGGGAACCAGUGCAUUUUCUUCUACCCUUACUUUUUAUUUUUCCGCAUUCAUAUUAAGUUUCCGGAAAAAUUAUCAAGAACGCUAAACUUGCAAAAAUUAACCAAUAUUCCUAGGUUACAAACUGAACUUACAUCCGUUUCAUAAUUGAUGCCAAAACCCUUUCUUAUGUUUAGGAAUUGACUAACGUUUUUAUGUUUUGUUGAACUUUUGGCUUUCUUCUCAGACACGUCUUGUGCUGGGAAAAUAGUCUGCUGGUAGUAAUAUUUCUCAUUUUGUUGUUUUUCCCGUAUUCGUCUCAUAAUUGGUGUCAAAACCCUUUCUUAUGUUUGGGAAUUGGUUAAUGUUUUUAUGUUUUGUUGCACUUUUGCUGUAACUUUUGUCUUUCUUCUCAGACACGUCUUGUGCUGGGAAGAUAGUUUGUUGGUAGUAAUAUAUCUCAUUAUGUCCUCUUAAAAAAGCAUCAUUGUUCAGUUAUACGAAUCAUAUAUUGACUCAAUAUGCGAUCCUCUAAGACCCAUGUAUUUAUUUAUUAUUUAUUAGACUGGAGUAAGAGUCAACUUUUCGUCAAUAGAUUGUUACACCCUUCACCUAACAUUUCAUUUGUUGUGGGGUUUCGUCGCCUAAACCUUAAUCGCCUAACAUGCUAACUAUUUUUACGCGCAAAGAAAUAUUUUUGAGCAUGCCUAAAAAAAAAAAUUUGACCAAAAUUUUUAAUUUUUAUAAAAUCUUUUAUUUAUUACAAAUAUAAAAAGUUUCAAAAAAUAAAGGGUUAAUUGUUUAAAUUGAAUAUAUAAUAUACGCAAAGUCUAAAAAAUAACCAUGCAUUUUAAGAUUUUACUUAUUUUUUACUUCUUAUGUUUCUCUCUAGAAAUAAAUUCUAGAACAGUGAUCUAGAGGUGGAAUUUUUUCAUAAUUUUUUGUAGGCAUGUUUAUGAUGUUAAAAUAUGAUUUUUCAUGUAAAAUUAAAAAUUUCUGAGUAGAGACGAAUUAAUUAUGAAUUUUCAUAGUGAAAAAACUUAAAAAAAAAAACAACGGAACCUAAAAAUCGAAUUAUGAGUUGAUUUUUUUUUUACACAAAAAUAAAAUAUAUAGAGAGGAUUUGCAAAAACCUGCAAAAUUUAAAUUUUGAAAUUCAGCAAAAUCAUAUGCAAAAUCGAAUUUGGAUUUUUCAACAAAGACAUGUAAAAUUGCAAUUUUUUAUUUUAUUUAACAAAUUCAAAUUAAGGUGGAACGAAAAUGCAAUUAAUCAUGUAAACAAAUUAAUAAAAAGAACACAUAGAAAAAAUAAUAAUAAAAGAGAUCUGUUAAAGGAAAGAUAAUAAUUAAUAAAGAACGGUUAUCAAUCAUAAUCAUUCCUAUAGAUCUAUAAAUAUAGAAUGCAUUUGAAACUUAUAAAACAUGAAAUGCUCCUCUUGUUUCUUUGUCAGAUGUGGGACUAUCUUCAUGGUUUUAAGUUUAAAAGGAAUUAAUUUCACCAAAUCAGACGUGUUCAUCAGUAGAAACAUCAAUUUUGCAGCUCGGGAAGAUCUUUCCAGAAUUCUAGGAGUCCGUCAUGUGUUAGGUACGGGUACAUAUUUGGGACUACCUAUAUGAUUGGUAGAAGUAAAAAAACAAUCUUCUCUUACAUCAAGGGCCGUAUUUGAAAGAAGAUAAAUUCAUGGAGAUGCCGCUCAGUAACAAAAGCAAGGAAGAAGGUGAUGAUUAAGUUCGUUUUACAAGCCACUUUAUCUUAUAUUAUGAGCACUUACAUCAUUCUGACCACUAUUUUUAUAAAUGAUAUUGAAAGAAUGCUAAAUUCAUUUUGGUGGGGAGGUGGUUCUAAUAACAAAGGGAUUCGUUGGAUGAUGUGGGAUAGAUUAUCAUGUCCUAAAUGGCAAAAUCAGAAGGUGGUAUGAUCUUUUUUGAAAUUCCAAGCUUUCAACAUGUUUAUGGUGGCAACGUAAGGGUGGCGUAUCUUGCAGAAACUGGACUCUUUGGUGGCAAAAAUUCUCAAAUCAAUAUACUUUCUCCACACAUAUUUUCUUGAAGCUGACAUUAGUACUAUGACAUAUCCAGGGAAGAAAGACCAAGGGAAGGUUUGAUUAAGUAUAACGUUAAUGCGACCUUCAUUGGAACUUUUUCUUGCUCAAACAAACUGGAAAUCUGUGAGAUGUCAACAAUCAAAGGGGAAGCAAAAACGCUUCUUGAAGCAAUUCAAAUGGCCAUCAACAAAGGGCUCGAGAGAGUAGUGUUUGAACGCGACUCACAAGUAGUACUAAACUCUAUUAAUUCUAGUUCACAAGGUGAUUCAAUGUUUAGUUCAAUUAUCUAUAGUAUUAUUAAUAGUCUGUCUUUGCAUUCUAACUUUGAGGUGAAGUUUGUUAGACAACAAACAAAGAUGAUUGCUCUACCUUGACAAUGGCGGCCCUUUUUUAGACUAAUUGCGAGUUGCCGUAUUGUUGAGAUUAUGUCUUUUCAAUUAAUGAUACAAGUUAAGUUUGCUUUGGUAAAAAAGUAAAAAAUACUUUAGCUUGCUAACUUCACCGACUAAAAAAUGAGUAUGAAUAAAUUAGCAAGUCCCAAUAAAACAUGCAUGGAAUAGGGAAAAAUCAGUUCUACUUAACAUUCAAUUAUAAGAUAUUUUAUUUAUUUUUUAAAUAAAGAAUGUUACCUCUUUUAUAUAAGAAAAUGACAGUAAGUUAUCUUUUUUUUUCAUUAUUUGGUUUUUAGUUUGUACAAGUCUGUAUAUAACUGACAAAAUGAUAUCACUGUAUAUAUAAAAUUAGAAAAAUGUUUUUAUGAAUAUUAAUUUUGUUAUGGUUUUUUAUUCUUUUAAAAUGAUAAAAAAAUUAAUAUAGAGUGAACAAUUAUAGGGGCUUCUGUUAGGUACCUAAAAGUAAACAAUCUCUGCAAAGUCAAGGCAGAAGUAUUCUAUGUCCCAAACAAAGAAAGUUCAAUGCAGAUUAUUCUCACUUUUCACAAAGUCCUAACCGUGUUUUCCAACACUUGCUUAAGUUGACUAUGACCUUAUAGAGUCAAUCCAAACAACUUAUAUUGGUUUGGUUUUUCAUUCUUUAGCUAUACUAACUACUUUCCACAAAAUUAUCCAUGGAGAAGUGCUUGCUUCUGUCUUUAAUUCUUUUGUUCUUCCAUUUUCCAUCAUUCUCUUCUUCAUCUUCUUUCAACUCCUCCUUAUGUCAUCAUGAUGAGAGCUUUGCUUUGCUUCAGUUCAAGUCCUCCUUCACUAUAGAUACUCCUUGUGUUAAAUCUCCUAUGAAAACAGCAACAUGGAAAAAUGGGACUGAUUGCUGCUCAUGGCAUGGUGUCACGUGUGACACCGUAUCUGGUCACGUCAUUGGCCUUAACCUUGGUUGUGAAGGCUUUCAAGGUAUACUCCAUCCUAAUAGUACCCUUUUCAAUAUUGUUCAUCUCCAAACACUCAACCUUUCUAACAAUGGUUUCUAUGGUUCCUAUUUUGAUUCUAAGUUUGGCAGGUUUACGAGUCUUACACAUCUUGACUUGUCUAAUACUCAUGUUGGCGGUGAAAUUCCUUCUCAAAUCUCAUACCUUUCCAAAUUACAAUCACUUCAUCUUUCUGGGCAUUAUGAGUUAGUUUGGAAAGAGACCACCUUAAAGAGACUUGUGCAAAACGCAACAAGUUUAAGGGAGCUGUUUUUGGAUUAUUCAGAUAUGUCUUCUUUAAGACAUAACUCCAUGGAUGCGAUCUUCAAUCAAUCUUCUCUCAUUUCCUUGGAUCUCACAGAUUGUGAACUCCAAGGGCCUAUUCCUCCAUCUUUCUCCAACCUCACACGUCUUACUUUCCUAAGUCUUGCACAAAACAACUUGAACGGUUCAAUCCCAUCCUCAUUUUCAAACCUUCAAAAUCUCAUCCACUUGUAUCUUUCAGGCAAUUCACUUAGCGGUCAAAUCCCAGAUGUAUUUGGUAGGAUGACCAAACUGCAAGUAUUCUAUCUAGCUUCUAACAAAUUAGAAGGACAAAUUCCAUCUUCAUUAUUUAACUUGAAUCAACUUGUUGAUUUAGAUUGUGCUUAUAAUAAAUUAGAGGGUCCACUACAUAAUAAAAUUGCAGGUUUUCAAAAGCUAAUUUAUUUGAGGUUAAAUGACAACUUGCUAAAUGGAACAAUUCCUUCCUCCUUGUUAUCUUUGCCUUCUUUGGUACUUCUGUAUCUAUCAAACAAUCGACUUACAGGGCCUAUCAGUGAAAUCUCAUCAUAUUCCUUAGAGUAUCUAUCUCUAUGCAACAACAAGCUACAAGGUGAUAUUCCAAAUUCAAUUUUCAACCUUGCAAACCUAAUUACACUAUGUCUAUCAUCAAACAACUUGAGUGGUGUUGUCAAUUUUCAAGACUUUACAAAACUUCAAAAAUUGGAUUCUCUGUCCCUUUCACAUAAUAGCCAAUUAUCACUAAACUUUGAAUACAAUGUUACUUACCAUUUUUCUCAACUAACAAAAUUGGAUUUGUCUUCCUUGAGUUUGACUGAAUUUCCUAAAUUAUUAGGAAAACUAGAAUCACUUGAUUUGUCCAAUAACAAACUUAAUGGAACAGUGUCCAAUUGGUUACUUGAAACAUCAAGAUCUUUGAACCUCUCUCAAAACUUGUUCACAUCAAUAGACCAAAUCUCAAGGAACAGUGACCAGCUCGGUGACCUUGAUCUUAGUUUUAACUUACUUGUUGGUAACCUCUCUGUGUCAAUUUGCAAUUUGAGUUCCCUUGAAUUUCUCAACUUGGGACACAACAAUUUCACAGGUAACAUUCCACAAUGUCUUGCUAAUUUACCAUCCCUUCAAAUUUUGGAUCUACAAAUGAACAACUUUUAUGGCACUUUGCCUAAUAACUUUUCAAAGUCCAGUAAACUUAUUACUCUGAAUCUCAAUGACAACCAAUUAGAAGGGUACUUUCCUAAAUCUUUGUCCCACUGCGAAAACCUGCAAGUUCUAAAUCUUCGCAACAACAAAAUGGAAGACAAAUUUCCUGUCUGGCUUCAAACUCUCCAAUACUUGAAAGUGCUGGUUUUGCGAGACAAUAAGUUGCAUGGUCACAUUGCCAAUUUAAAGAUCAGGCAUCCAUUUCCUAGUUUAGUUAUUUUUGAUAUCUCAAGCAAUAACUUUACUGGUCCGCUACCAAAAGCCUAUUUAAAAUAUUUUGAAGCCAUGAAGAAAGUUACUCAAGUUAAGGAUGACGACAGUUUGUUAUAUAUGGAAAUGAUGUUGAGUUAUCGUGCAGACAAUACUAAAGGUAAUGUGAGUUACUAUGAUUCUGUGACUGUGACGACAAAAGGCAUCAAAAUGACACUGACGAAAAUUCCAACAAUGUUUGUAAGUAUUGAUUUCUCAAGAAACAAGUUUAAUGGAGGAAUUCCAAAUGAUAUAGGAGAACUUCACGCACUCAAAGGGCUUAACCUUUCACAUAACAGACUCACUGGUCCUAUUCCUCAAUCCAUACAAAACUUGACAAACUUGGAAUCGUUGGAUCUCUCGUCAAAUAUGCUCACUGGUAUGAUUCCUGCAGAAUUAACCAAUUUGAACAGUCUUGAAGUCUUGGAUCUUUCCAAUAACCAUCUUGUGGGAGAAAUACCUCAAGGAAAGCAAUUCAAUACAUUUACAAAUGAUUCUUAUAAAGGGAACUUGGGGUUAUGUGGAUUACCCUUGUCAAAGAAAUGUGGACCGGAACAACAUUCUCCACCUUCAGCCAACAACUUUUGGAGUGAAGAGAAAUUUGGCUUUGGAUGGAAACCAGUGGCAAUUGGUUAUGGAUGUGGAUUUGUGUUUGGAAUAGGCCUUGGAUAUUAUAUGUUUUUAAUUGGAAAGCCUAGAUGGUUUGUGAUGAUAUUU